Molecule: small nucleolar RNA, 94 nt
Filed under: Zostera marina
Lineage: Eukaryota; Viridiplantae; Streptophyta; Magnoliopsida; Alismatales; Zosteraceae
Description: Small nucleolar RNA Z221/R21b
Rfam family: Small nucleolar RNA Z221/R21b
About the family: Z221 is a member of the C/D class of snoRNA which contain the C (UGAUGA) and D (CUGA) box motifs. Most of the members of the box C/D family function in directing site-specific 2'-O-methylation of substrate RNAs.
Source: Rfam by way of RNAcentral
AAGCGAUGAUGAUAUUUAGUCAUGCACCACUCUGAUUUGAUUUUAAUCGAUCAUUGUUGAAAAUUGACACAAACCCAUUUGUUUAUCUGAGCUU